This 27-nucleotide non-coding RNA is filed under the name Homo sapiens (human). Lineage: Eukaryota; Metazoa; Chordata; Mammalia; Primates; Hominidae. The record is from RNAcentral.
UGACACAGCCUGUCCUGUUUGUUGUGC